CCCUGUCCCCUCUUGUCCACCCCCAAGUCCCCACCUUGAGGUUCUCGGCCACCAAGGGGACGUGGACACUGGUCCCACCUCAGCUCUUGGGUCUCCCCAGUGUCCCCACCGUCCCCAUGUCCUCAUCUUGGGCUUCCAAGUCCUCAGGGGACACCAGGACACGGCCCUCCCUGGUUCCUGCCUGUCCCCAAGGUCCUCAAUGCCCUCCAGCUGUCCCCAGUGUCCCCUGGAUGUCCCCAAAAUCCUCAUCUUGAGCUUCCAACUGCUGAGGGGACACCAGGACACGGCCCUCCCUGGUUCCUGCCUGUCCCCAAGGUCCUCAAUGCCCUCCAGGUGUCCCCAAUGUCCCCUGGAUGUCCCCAAAAUCCUCAUCUUGAGGUUCUUUCCACUGAGACGUCACCACCACUUGUCCCUGCCUGGUUCCUGCCCGUCCCCAAGGUCCCUCCCGUGUCCCCAAGGUCCCUCCCAUGCCCCCGAGGUCCCCCCACCUUGAACUUCUUGCCGCUGAGGGGGCAGAGCCACUUGUCCUUGCCCAGCUCCUGGGUGUUGGCCGUGACGAACUUCUCCAGCUCCU
This 574-nucleotide long non-coding RNA is filed under the name Calidris pugnax (ruff). Its description in RNAcentral is "lncRNA (ENSCPUG00000002189.1)". Lineage: Eukaryota; Metazoa; Chordata; Aves; Charadriiformes; Scolopacidae. The record is from RNAcentral.